CAGUAGCCGCGGUAAUACGGAGGGGGCUAGCGUUGUUCGGAAUUAUUGGGCGUAAAGCGCACGUAGGCGGCGAUUUAAGUCAGAGGUGAAAGCCCAGUGCUCAACACUGGAACUGCCUUUGAAACUAGAUUGCUUGAAUCCAGGAGAGGUGAGUGGAAUUCCGAGUGUAGAGGUGAAAUUCGUAGAUAUUCGGAAGAACACCAGUGGCGAAGGCGGCUCACUGGACUGGUAUUGACGCUGAGGUGCGAAGCGUGGGGAGCAAACAGGAUUAGAUACCCCUGUAGUCCCUGUCUCUUAUACA
RNAcentral lists this ribosomal RNA (301 nucleotides) under uncultured bacterium. RNAcentral's name for it is "partial 16S ribosomal RNA". It matches the Rfam family "Bacterial small subunit ribosomal RNA", at positions 509 to 808 of the family's 1533-position model. The record is from RNAcentral.